UUUUAGCCCGGAUUGCAGCGGCAUCCUUUUUUGUGGCGCAGCGCAGCGGAGCCAUAAAAAAGAUACAGCGGAAAGCCGGAAAUAGC
RNAcentral lists this small RNA (86 nucleotides) under Flavobacterium noncentrifugens. RNAcentral's name for it is "Flavo-1 RNA". It matches the Rfam family "Flavo-1 RNA". The record is from Rfam by way of RNAcentral. Lineage: Bacteria; Pseudomonadati; Bacteroidota; Flavobacteriia; Flavobacteriales; Flavobacteriaceae.